AUUGAACGCUGGCGGCAGGCCUAACACAUGCAAGUCGAGCGCGAAAGGCCUUCGGGCUGAGUAGAGCGGCGGACGGGUGAGUAACGCGUAGGAAUCUACCUGGUAGUGGGGGACAACUUGGGGAAACUCAAGCUAAUACCGCAUACGCCCUAUGGGGGAAAGUGGGGGACCUUCGGGCCUCACGCUAUCAGAUGAGCCUGCGUAGGAUUAGCUAGUUGGUGGGGUAAAGCCCACCAAGGCGACGAUCCUUAGCUGGUCUGAGAGGAUGAUCAGCCACACUGGGACUGAGACACGGCCCAGACUCCUACGGGAGGCAGCAGUGGGGAAUAUUGCGCAAUGGGGGCAACCCUGACGCAGCCAUGCCGCGUGUGUGAAGAAGGCCUUCGAGUGUAAGCACUUCACUGGUAGAAAGAUCAUGUUAAUAGCGGUGAGCCUCGACA
RNAcentral lists this ribosomal RNA (440 nucleotides) under uncultured bacterium. RNAcentral describes it as "bacterial SSU rRNA". It matches the Rfam family "Bacterial small subunit ribosomal RNA", at positions 30 to 474 of the family's 1533-position model. The record is from RNAcentral.